This 27-nucleotide non-coding RNA is filed under the name Cricetulus griseus (Chinese hamster). The record is from RNAcentral. Lineage: Eukaryota; Metazoa; Chordata; Mammalia; Rodentia; Cricetidae.
UAUGGAUUUGUGAUAGUGGAAUAAGAG